ACGAAGGGUGCAAGCGUUAAUCGGAAUUACUGGGCGUAAAGGGUGCGUAGGCGGUUCGUUAAGUCUGUCGUGAAAUCCCCGGGCUCAACCUGGGAAUGGCGAUGGAUACUGGCGAGCUAGAGUGUGUCAGAGGAUGGUGGAAUUCCCGGUGUAGCGGUGAAAUGCGUAGAGAUCAGAAGGAACAUCCGUGGCGAAGGCGGCAUCCUGGGCCAACACUGACACUGAGGCACGAAAGCGUGGGGAGCAAACAGGA
Molecule: ribosomal RNA, 253 nt
Filed under: uncultured prokaryote
Description: partial 16S ribosomal RNA
Rfam family: Bacterial small subunit ribosomal RNA
Source: RNAcentral